RNAcentral lists this ribosomal RNA (253 nucleotides) under uncultured prokaryote. RNAcentral describes it as "partial 16S ribosomal RNA". It matches the Rfam family "Bacterial small subunit ribosomal RNA", at positions 524 to 776 of the family's 1533-position model. The record is from RNAcentral.
GACGGAGGGUGCAAGCGUUGCUCGGAAUCAUUGGGCGUAAAGGGUGCGUAGGCGGCUUUUUAAGUCUGACGUGAAAGCCCAGGGCUUAGCCUUGGAAGUGCGCCAGAAACUGGAAGGCUAGAGUGCCGGAGGGGAGAGUGGAAUUCCUGGUGUAGCGGUGAAAUGCGUAGAGAUGUGGAGGAACACCAGUGGCGAAGGCGACUUUCUGGGCUGUAACUGACGCUGAGGCGCGAAAGCGUGGGGAGCAAACAGG